UACGUAGGGGGCAAGCGUUGUCCGGAAUCAUUGGGCGUAAAGAGCGUGUAGGCGGCUCGGUCAGUCCGCCGUGAAAGUCCAGGGCUCAACCCUGGAAUGCCGGUGGAUACUGCCGGGCUGGAGUCCGGAAGAGGCGAGUGGAAUUCCUGGUGUAGCGGUGAAAUGCGCAGAUAUCAGGAGGAACACCAAUGGCGAAGGCAGCUCGCUGGGACGGUACUGACGCUGAGACGCGAAAGCGUGGGGAGCAAACAGG
Molecule: ribosomal RNA, 253 nt
Filed under: uncultured bacterium
Lineage: Bacteria
Description: partial 16S ribosomal RNA
Rfam family: Bacterial small subunit ribosomal RNA
Source: RNAcentral